GAUGAACGCUGGCGGCGUGCCUAAUACAUGCAAGUCGAGCGAACAGACGAGGAGCUUGCUACUCUGACGUUAGCGGCGGACGGGUGAGUAACACGUGGAUAACCUACCUAUAAGACUGGGAUAACUUCGGGAAACCGGAGCUAAUACCGGAUAAUAUAUUGAACCGCAUGGUUCAAUAGUGAAAGACGGUUUUGCUGUCACUUAUAGAUGGAUCCGCGCCGCAUUAGCUAGUUGGUAAGGUAACGGCUUACCAAGGCAACGAUGCGUAGCCGACCUGAGAGGGUGAUCGGCCACACUGGAACUGAGACACGGUCCAGACUCCUACGGGAGGCAGCAGUAGGGAAUCUUCCGCAAAGGGCGAAAGCUUGACGGAGCAACGCCGCGUGAGUGAUGAAGGUCUUCGGAUCGUAAAACUCUGUUAUUAGGGAAGAACAAAUGUGUAAGUAACUAUGCACGUCUUGACGGUACCUAAUCAGAAAGCCACGGCUAACUACGUG
RNAcentral lists this ribosomal RNA (497 nucleotides) under uncultured bacterium. RNAcentral describes it as "partial 16S ribosomal RNA". It matches the Rfam family "Bacterial small subunit ribosomal RNA", at positions 28 to 507 of the family's 1533-position model. The record is from RNAcentral.